AAAGUGUCAAUAGUGAUAUUGAAUACAACGUGUUGUGUGUCGACGAUUGGAUUAACAAAAAAAAAACAUUAUGUCCUUUGGUAGGCAAAUUAAUUGAUAAGGAGGAAAAAGAUAAAUACAACUUACAUAGUCCUUCAUGAAUGGAACCGGGGUUGAACAACCGGACGGCCAGGAGAGAACGCAGCAGCACACAGCGGAAUCACUGGGUGAUCCUCGAGGUAUACCAGAUUUUCUUCCAUAAUUUGUGUUGAUCGAAUCGGCCUGCAUGCGGUGGUGUUGCCGCUGAUGGGCGAUGUUGAGUUUCCAAACAACAAAAGAUGAAAUAACCAUGCGGUCGUCCACUCGAAACUUGUAUCAGCAGUGCCUGGUGCCGCCGUGAUCCAAUCACGACCUUUCGCGCCGUGUUUACCGCCUGCGAUGCUGCGUGCGAUUCUCUGUUUGUGCGUCGUGUGCCUGGCUAUCCGGGUAUCCACUUUCGGCCA
Molecule: long non-coding RNA, 482 nt
Organism: Chrysoperla carnea
Lineage: Eukaryota; Metazoa; Arthropoda; Insecta; Neuroptera; Chrysopidae
Exons: 3
Source: RefSeq, a predicted model, not a curated record